GCCGUGGUGGCGGAACUGGCAGACGCGUACGUCUCAGAAGCGUAUGACCUUAAAUAAGUCGUGGGAGUUCAAGUCUCCCCCGCGGCA
Molecule: transfer RNA, 87 nt
Filed under: bacterium
Lineage: Bacteria
Description: tRNA-Leu
Rfam family: tRNA
About the family: Transfer RNA (tRNA) molecules are approximately 80 nucleotides in length. Their secondary structure includes four short double-helical elements and three loops (D, anti-codon, and T loops).
Source: RNAcentral